RNAcentral lists this ribosomal RNA (474 nucleotides) under uncultured bacterium. Its description in RNAcentral is "bacterial SSU rRNA". It matches the Rfam family "Bacterial small subunit ribosomal RNA", at positions 38 to 507 of the family's 1533-position model. The record is from RNAcentral.
GGCGGCAGGCUUAACACAUGCAAGUCGAGCGGUAGCAGAUCUAGCUUGCUAGAUGCUGACGAGCGGCGGACGGGUGAGUAACGCGUAGGAACCUGCCCAGUAGUGGGGGAUAGCCCGGGGAAACUCGGAUUAAUACCGCAUACGCUCUACGGAGGAAAGAGGGGCUUCGGGCUCUCGCUAUUGGAUGGGCCUGCGUGAGAUUAGCUAGUUGGUGAGGUAAUGGCUCACCAAGGCGACGAUCUCUAGCUGGUCUGAGAGGAUGAUCAGCCACACUGGGACUGAGACACGGCCCAGACUCCUACGGGAGGCAGCAGUGGGGAAUAUUGCACAAUGGGCGCGAGCCUGAUGCAGCCAUGCCGCGUGUGUGAAGAAGGCUUUCGGGUUGUAGAGCACUUUCAGUGGGGAGGAAGGCCUCGUAGUUAAUAGCUGCGAGGAUUGACGUUACCCACAGAAGAAGCACCGGCUAACUCCGUG